RNAcentral lists this ribosomal RNA (492 nucleotides) under uncultured bacterium. RNAcentral describes it as "partial 16S ribosomal RNA". It matches the Rfam family "Bacterial small subunit ribosomal RNA", at positions 30 to 507 of the family's 1533-position model. The record is from RNAcentral.
AUUGAACGCUGGCGGCAUGCUUUACACAUGCAAGUCGAACGGUAACAGGCCUUCGGGUGCUGACGAGUGGCGAACGGGUGAGUAAUGCAUCGGAACGUGCCCAGCGGUGGGGGAUAACGCAGCGAAAGCUGUGCUAAUACCGCAUGUGAUCUGAGGAUGAAAGCGGGGGACCAGGCAGCAAUGUUUGGCCUCGCGCCUUUGGAGCGGCCGAUGUCAGAUUAGGUAGUUGGUGGGGUAAAGGCCUACCAAGCCGACGAUCUGUAGCUGGUCUGAGAGGACGACCAGCCACACUGGGACUGAGACACGGCCCAGACUCCUACGGGAGGCAGCAGUGGGGAAUUUUGGACAAUGGGCGCAAGCCUGAUCCAGCAAUGCCGCGUGCGGGAAGAAGGCCUUCGGGUUGUAAACCGCUUUUGUACGGAACGAAAAGGCUCUGGCUAAUACCUGGGGCUGAUGACGGUACCGUAAGAAUAAGCACCGGCUAACUACGUG